Molecule: ribosomal RNA, 346 nt
Filed under: uncultured bacterium
Lineage: Bacteria
Description: partial 16S ribosomal RNA
Rfam family: Bacterial small subunit ribosomal RNA
Source: RNAcentral
CCUACGGGAGGCAGCAGUGAGGAAGAUUGGUCAAUGGGCGCGAGCCUGAACCAGCCAAGUAGCGUGAAGGAUGAGUGCCCUACGGGUUGUAAACUUCGUUUAUAAAGGAAUAAAGUGAGGCACGUGUGCCUUUUUGUAUGUACGUUAUGAAUAAGGAUCGGCUAACUCCGUGCCAGCAGCCGCGGUAAUACGGAGGAUCCGAGCGUUAUCCGGAUUUAGUGGGGUGAAAGGGAGCGUAGAGGGGUUGUUAAGUCAGUUGUGAAAGUUUGCGGCUCAACCGUAAAAUUGCAAUUGAUACUGGCAGCCUUGCGUACAGUUGCGGUCGGCGGAAUUCGUGGUGUAGCGG